ACAACCGUCACUUUUGAUUUUUUUAUGGAAACAUAAAAGUUCGACCAUUGACUAGAGAAAAGUCGGUGGAAACCAGGAACCUUCCACGGAGUUAGUUCUCGUUUUCUCCUCCCAAAAUAAGGUUUUAUUUUUUUUCCAACUCGAUCUCAGAUCAUACCCAAUUAAUCAAAAUAAGGGGCUUUUGAAUUUUGAGGUUUUAGAGGGUGGGAGAUGGCAAGUGGAUUUGGGGAGUCGACCACAAGCGUUCCAUCGCAAAGCUCGUCUUUAUCAGGCAGUAACUGCAAUGACGCGGCUGAUUUCGAAUGCAAUAUCUGCUUCGAAUUAGCUCAGGACCCAAUUGUAACUCUUUGUGGCCACCUCUUCUGUUGGCCAUGUCUAUACAGAUGGCUCCAUCACCACUCUCAGUGCCAGGAAUGCCCAGUUUGCAAGGCCCUAGUACAAGAGGAAAAGUUGGUUCCUCUCUAUGGAAGGGGCAAAACACAGAGUGACCCGCGAUCAAAGUCGUUUCCUGGUAUUGAUAUUCCUAGCCGUCCGGCCGGUCAAAGACCCGAAACUGCUCCUCCUCCCCAGGAUGCAAAUCAGUUUAACUUCGGCAAUUAUGGGUUUGGAUUUAUGGGGGGUUUUAUGCCUAUGGCGACGGCUAGGAUUGGUAACUUCACGCUUUCUACUGCCUUUGGUGGUCUGAUUCCGUCACUAUUCAAUAUUCAUUUCCAAGGUUUCCCGGAUGCUACUGUGUAUGGGCAGACUUCUGGUUUUCCCUAUGGGUUUCAUACAUUUCAUGGAGGUUAUGCUCAUAGGUUCCACCAGCCAAUAGUUCGGGGACAGCAGGCCGAUAAUGUUUUGAAGAGUCUCUUUUUUCUUAUAGGUGUUUUUGUGAUCAUUGCUCUUCUUUGUUGGUAAUAUUUGUUUUCCGCAUAAACUCAGAAGUAAUGAUGGUUUUCUACUGUCGGUGGUGUUAUGAUUGUGUAUAUACGAGGUGCUUGGUGGCUUCGUUUGAAAUCGUCAAUUCGGUCUUACGGUAAGCAACUUUAAUGGAGAAAGAAGAAUCUUUCAACUAUUAUUGGAAAGAAACUUAUAAAGAGUGAUGAAAACAGGACACAUGAUCUACCUACUACCUUUGCAAAAUAAUAUAUACAACAAAGACGUGUGCUCAAAUCCAACUUUUCAAAUUAUUUGCAAUUAUCUGUCUUCUGCUUUCAAUGAUCAUGGAUUCAUGCACAUGCAAAUGC
Molecule: RNA transcript, 1229 nt
Organism: Juglans regia (Persian walnut)
Lineage: Eukaryota; Viridiplantae; Streptophyta; Magnoliopsida; Fagales; Juglandaceae
Gene name: E3 ubiquitin-protein ligase RNF185-like
Exons: 3
Source: RefSeq, a predicted model, not a curated record